GGCGAUUGCCUACGGGACAGAGUUGGGGGUGGGUAGACCGCUUCCCGCGCGUUCGAGACGGGUUGGGGAGGAGCGCUUCACUCCCUCACCUUCCUCCCCGCGGCCUCCACCGUGUCUCUCACCGACUCGCGGGGAGCCCCCGAAACCUCCGGUGCUUGUUCACGCACUUCCAGAGACUGGCAGCACAUCACCAUCACCUCUUGAAAACAUUAUUCACAAUAGCCAAGAUAUGGAAACAACCUACGGCCCACCAACAGAUGAAUUGUUAAGAAGUUGUGGUAUAAUACACACAAAUGGAAUAUUAUUAAGUCAUGACAAAGAAGGACAUCUUGUCAUUUGUGAUAACCUGGAUGAAUCUUGAGGACAUUAUGCUAAGUGAGGAUUGAAAUGGAAAACUGGAAAAGUUGAUGAAUUUAUGCUCACAAAACCAGGUCGAAAAGCCAGGGCAGCUAUGACAAGGUUGAAGUUCAUCCAUCAGAAGUGAAUGAAACAGAGGGGUCAACCUCCCUAAUCAUUUUGAUCACCAGGAUAAUGAUGACUGACCAAUUAGACUAGUCAUUGAUAUCCAGCAUAAAGAUGGCCAUAACAGAUGUGAUCAUCCCCACUACAGAUAAUUUAAUGGAAAACAACAACCAUUAAUAACACGACUGGAAGUAAGGAAACGUGGAUUUAGACUCCUGCCAAUGACAAGGAAUAUGAUCUAAAGUUAAUCACUCAAUCUUUCUGAGCCCUAGUUGCCACUUCUGUGAAAUUGUGGUUGGGAGUAAAUGACUUUCAUGUUUCUUAUUUGGCAUCAUUGCUGAUUCCUCUUCCAGCCAUGCCUUCAAGUGAUGGAGCUGAGGGUUUUCAUACUGGUAGAGAUGUCAGUUUGGAGCUGCUGGUAGCCAUCUUGGUAUCAUAAGGGGAGAAUCUACCUGAAAGAAAAACCAACAAAGAGAAAAAGUAGAGCUAUGAGUUGGAAAGACAGAGAGAUGUUUAUUUUCCAAGGAAGAUUUCACUCAGAUGGAGUAAUCUGUUUCCUGAGAGAGUUGAGGAAUUCUCUUGGGGUCUCUUGAGAAUCUAGUUGAAGAGAGGAGCACCAAUCUACCAAAAUUUUCUCAUUCCACAAACAGGGAGCCACUUAAAUGCACAAGGACUCUGCCAAGUGCCAAACACAGUUUCUGAUCUCCAGUGGGCAAACCAAGGAGGAAGGAAUGAUUGGUCACUAUGGAAUCACAGCUGAGAUUACACACCAGAGGCCUUACCUGAAACUUGAACACUGGGGAGAGGCUGUUCCAAACAAAACUACCAAAGCUCAGAGCCAGAGAUGCCCUGGUGACAAAGGCUUUUAAAUCCAGUCGAAACGGAGAACUGCAUAAAGCAGCAGAAGGGUCAGCUGCAAGGGGUGCCCUGCCUCUCAGCACAGGGUAACCAGAUUCCCUGCAGUACUUGGGGAGAGACACCAGGAGCACUACCUUCAGCCAGUUUCCUUGAAUCUUCUGGGACAGAUGACCAGCUCUUGGAGCCGAAGAAGAGAAGGGGUGUCUUUCAGAAAGAGGAGUGCCUCUCCCGUAAGCAAAGCUGGCAGAAGAGCUGGCUCAGGAACCCUGAUGUCAUAUGUUGCCCUGGACAGAGGCAAAAGAUGGAGCAGCAGCAGAGGAGAAAUGCUUUUCUUCGGGCCCCCAGAAAUAUCCCACACUGGGGACAACAUCUCAGUGGCUAUAGGCACACAACGGAAUAUUACUCAGCCAUAAAAAGAGUGAAAUAAUGCCAUUUGCAGCAACAUGGAUGGACCUAGAGAUUAUCACACUAAGUGAACAGGAAUCACCCACCUACCUCUUGGAAGUAAAGAAAGAGAAGGAAAGGAGAGGAACCGUUUGGACUGGAUGAGACCUGAAUCUUCCUCCAGAAUGAGCAUCAUCUUGGCCAGCAUUGGCCCAGCCAGGCUUCUCACCAUCAGAUGUGUGUCCAGAUGAGCCCCAGAGAUCUCCUCCAGGCCUCUCCACGCAGAGUGCUUGUGUGCUUAAUAUCUGCAAAGCCAUGUUCGCUGCCUUGAGCGAGGAGACGCAGGGUCAGGCACGGCAGCAACGGAUGUUCAUCCUCCCAACACGGUAUCAGGCAACAUGUUUGGCCACUACAGUUGUCUCACAGCAGCUAAUUCAGAAGCCAGCUCUGGCUGCCGUGCGUCCUUGAUGGGAAAUGCCUCCAGUCCUACGCUUGCAAUCAGGUCAACCAAAGGUUCACUUCCCAGCACAUUUGGAAGAAUGGCCUUCUUUUAAAAGUUGGAAAAACUGAGUCAGAGAGAGGUGAAGAUGAAGUUCACACAUCUGUCAGCACCAUCAUCAACAUUACCAUCAUGUCUCUUGUCUGUAAUAAAUGGUGAAUAGGAUAGACAACAUUUCUAGAAACAUGUAUUUCAUAAAUGUGGACAGAUUAUUAAGGACAAAUAUAUUAAUGUGAAAUAACUUAACAGAUGAAUUACAUGUAAUUUGCAUUUUUUGCAAGUAAAUAAUAGUAAUAUCUAUUUGCUUAGCCUUAUACAGCUAAAAAAUGUUUCCCAUAUAUAAGCUUAGAAAAAGUUCUUAACGUGAGUAAAUAUGGGCAUUCCCUGUUCAGAGAACAGUAGAGUCAUAGAGCGUGUCUGGGCCAAAGUUCCUGGGCGAGUGGGUGCCAGAAUCAGGACUAAAACUCUGCCUUCUAACCAGAGACCACCUCCUCUUUAUUUCCUCCUGCUUCUGUGAGCAGGAAGGCGAUACAGGAACUUCAUGUCGAGAGCCUGGAUUAAGUGACAUUUCACUUCAUGGAGAAGUCUUCCUAGAGGGAUUUGAGAAGUUCUAGGGAACCUUGUUAUUUUGAGACAAUAUGUUUUCUUCAAACCAAGGAACACCAUUUGAGGACGUUUAGUAAAAGAAGUUCUGGGGAAAGCCCAGUGGUGGCAGAAGUGGUGGUGGAGGACUUUCCCCACUUGUCAUCUUCCAUUUACAUUUAGAUAAGGCCUGGUGGAGAAUUGUAUAGCCAGUUGCAAGGAUAAGUUUAAGUUGGUGUGAUCUGAAACACAGCCAGUUCAUUUCUUUCUAAAAGGCAGAGGCACGGUAUCUAAGACUUGUAUCUUGAAAUGUAUGUGAGAACCUUCUAGCCCUGAGAGUUCCCAUCAGGUUAGGAGGUCACAGCUCUUCGAACACGAACCGCAGCUUCGCGAUCAGUAUAAAAGUCUACAAUUACAACCAUUCUUUGGAAUCCUCUCAGUCAAGGAGGACAUUCCUUGGCUGGUUUAGAAAAACCAGUGCAGAUUUGCACUGGGAAAGGAAUGCAGUCUGGAAGAAUGGCCAAUGAUUUACAGAUUAAGUCUCCUAUUAACUAAGAAAGAAUAAGGAAAGGAGGUUUGAAAACUAUUCUGCCACCCCGCCUCGAAAUGUUUACAGGAGAAGCAGUGUGAGUGACAAGGUGGGGAGGUGGCAGACGCACUGAAUGGGACACAGAACUGAAUGGUGGAACCAGGAGUGACCUGGCAUCAUCAUCGGGAUCCCUUAGGUCUUCACAGCAGUUGUGACUUUCGGAGAUGAUUCAGUUCUUAUUAUCUCAGUGGGUUCAAAAUUAUUAAAGACUCUGUGGGUCCAGGCAGAGAGGCACCAUUUCCAUCUUAUAGAUAAGGACACUGAGUUUCGGCGAGGUCAGGCGUUUUAUCCAGGCAAGUCUGAAGUGGAUGAGCCGCCUCCUGGUUUCGGGGCCUGACUUCUGAUUGCCACUAGGCACCUGCCUCUCUGCAGGAGGAGAAAGUCUUGACCCGUAACCUGGGGAAAUGGGAUUGCCCGAGUGAGGCGUGAGGGGGUGGAGUUUCUCUAACUGCUCCUCAGAAGAAGGAUGCUGAGUGGGGAAGACAGUGGCUGGCAGGCCUGGUGCCAGGGACUCCGGGAGGAAGGGGCUGGAGAGGUCCAGGAGAAACACGGGCAGGAACUGGACUGAGACAGCAUUUGAAAGAUGAACAAGGAGAUGGAAGUUUGGAGAUGGAAAGGAAAAGGCAAGCUCCAGCAGUUGACAAUGGAAAGGCAACGGCCUGUGGGAAAUAACUCAGAGAUUUCCUGCUUGUGAAGCCAGUGCUGUGCUGUCAUGGCCACUGCUCCCGGCAGGUGACACGGAGAGAUGCCUUGUGCCAGGCGUGUCGGGGGCCAGGAGGGCCCAGAACUCCUGACUCGGGUGUCAGAGGAGGUGUCCGAGGCCCGCCCCGCGCUCACCUCCUGGAUGUUCUGCUUCGCCCGGCUGUCAGAGGGAUGCAUAAUCGUCCCCAUCACUUUCAUGUUGCCACAGACAACCAGGGCUUCGUCCGGUGCAUCUGUGUUUAUGCCCACUCGACCAUGACAAACAACAGAUUCUGGAACUUGUCCUCGCUGCCAUAAUGCAUCAAUGUCAUUUUCAAAUUGCCCAGGGUUGGAGGCCUGGAGAAAAUACAUAAAUAUAUUACAAUUAAAGUUACAGAUGCAGGAAUAGAUGAUCGCUUUAUUCCUCAAAGGAAAACAGAAUGUUAGCCAAGUCUUUCACUUGAGAAUCACAUGUUGGAUGGGACACUCUGACAUAUCCGAAUAACUGUGACCCCAGGAGAGCCAGGGAGGCUCUCCUAACUGUUCUGCCCCCACCAGCAGAAGCUCAGCGUGUCAUGGUUUGCAAUGUCCAGUCUAUAUGGAAUUGAGAAUGUGUCAGUUAUAGUAGGUGGAUGAUAAGGAGAAGAAGAACACUCAAAAUGAGUAUUUUUUCAGGGAGAAUAAUAAUAAUGAUUUAAAACUAGAAUAUUACAUCAGAAAAUCUCACAAGUUUAUUAAAGCUCAGAUAAUUUCAAAAAAACCCUUGCAUUUAGCUAGCCCUUCCAUAGUUUCAAAACACCUUCAUGUUUAUGAUUUCAUACACAAUUGACAAGCAAAUGACAAUACAAACAUAUUUAGUACACCUCAGCUAUUCCCUAAACACAGAUGAUUCUGACAGAAGAACUGUAACAGCUGCAUUUGCUGUGUGCUAAUCCACACCCCAAUUCCAUGCGAUAGGACCAUCAUCUUCCUUUUACUGACGCUGAGACUCUGAAAGAAUAAACAGAUUGCCCCAGGCCACAAAGCUAAUGAGUUCUAGAGCUGCGAUUAUGCUUCCUUUGAUGAUUAAAUAAUGAUUCUAACUUUGAGUUUUGUGGUAUUGCCUAAAAAAGCCCUGGCCAAAUGCAGUCUUCAAAGAAAAUCCAAGUGAAUCUAUCAGACUAGAGAAAGUUCUGGAGAUUUUACUGUUAAAUACAUUUUUUUUGCCAAAGAAUUUUCCACUGUACUGCCUUCCCUCCUCCCCAUUUCCCUGUUGCCACUGAAUAUAUUUCCACAUAUCUUUAAGUAAGGAUCUAUGAAUCCACCAAAAUCCUCACAACGAAAUUAAUUUGUUUUUUAAAUUAUGACCUAUCCUCCUCUUACUCUCUUGGUAUUAUUUGAAUGUUUUUACCAUAGGCAUGCGUUACCAAUUUACAAAUAAUAAUUAAAAGAAAUCUCAAAGUUCAGAUCUAAGUUUGGGUUCAGUUAAAAAACUUAGGUGUGUGCAACCUCCUGUUUCAUUCCUACCUGUCUGAACCCUGAGCUGCUUGGAAGACUCAACUAUUGACACUGGAUAGACAAAAGCAGGGAAAGAAUAUAAAGUAACAACUUUGAACAUUAUUUUGUGUGAAUUCACUUGAACAAAGAGCUUUUCCGCAAGAUCCCUAGAGCCUCCUUGGUGGUGAAUGGCAAAUUGGCUUUGACUCAAAUCCUUUUAUAGCGAGCAAUCAACUAAAUCCAAAGGUAUGCCAUAUAAAAUGUUGAUGCAUUUUCCUCUGCUCUGAACAUAAUGAGCCACUUCAAGGAAGAGAACAGGACAGUGAUGGAUUUUCUUUUUCUUAAUGAGCUUUGGGAUAAUUAUUAUCCUGUUUGUAACCUGACAGUACUGGAACAGCAGAUAUAAGUAGAUUCGAUUUUGGGGAACAAUUACAACCAUCUCACUUGGAUUUCAUCAAAUGAAAACUCAAAUCUCUAAAACAUGUUCAAAUCAUUUUGGAAAGGGUCACAUAUCUACAAUGGUUUAAAUAUAGAGCCCUAAGGAGGAGUCCUCGUCAGUAAUGCGAAAUGUUAUUAUAAAAUGUGUGAACUUAUUUCCCUUCUCUGGUAUCCAGAAUGUUAAUGGGUCAAAGCAAACUGAAAUGGAAUCACAGAAAAACAUUCUGGAGUCAUGAAGUUGUGUUCAGAUGUGGCCCAAUAGUGGUUGAUUGCUAUCAAACAUCAGAAUGAAUUACAGUUUCUAAAAUACUUUUAUUAUUCAUCACACAGCCUCAUAUAUUUAGGGAAGACCCGAACAUUCUAGUCUAUAUUGUGACACAACCUAGCUGUGUGACUUUGGGACAGUUACUUGACCUUUCUGUACCAGUUUUCUCCCCUGAAGAAUAAAGAUAAUAGUGUCUUCUUUACCUAUCUCUCACAGGGCUGUGGGAAUUAAAUGAAAUCACGUAUGCAUGCACACUUUGUAAAAAUGAGGAUGCAUAGUCUCAAGUUCAUCCUCCACACACUCUGCUGUGCAGAGUAACAACCAUUCAACCUACACUCAAUGAAUCUGCUCUCAGUAACGCAUCUGCAGAGCUGCACAAUUCCAAGGGAACUCUGUUCACAAAGAAUACAAUGUAAAUGGUGCCCCCUGCAGAUGCUUGGAAUAGGAAACACUAGUAGUAAUUUGAGGCCAUUCAAGUUUGGAAUGGAAAGCUGGAAUUUCUUUGCUUUACCAUUGUUUGGGCUUCUGAAGAGCAGUCAAAGAGCAUAAUAGGAAAGCUUGAGCUGAGGAAGGCAGUUCAUAAGAAAUUCAUUCUUGUACCUUGUGCAAAGACUAUCGAAAAUGGGCCUAGAAAUGCUAUCUACCGAUGCUACUCUAAGUGUGGUCCACAGGCCAGCAGUAUCGGCGUCUCCAGGAAGCUUGUUAGAAAUGCAUAUUCUCAGACAUCUCCAACCUACUGAAUCAAAAAUUGUGGAGGUGGGACCCAGGUAUCUGUGUUUUCACAAGCUCUCCAGGGUAUUCUUAUUCUCCAUAAAGUUUAAGAAGGACUUCUUUAUGUCAUACACUACUUCCAUGCUACUACUGUGAAAGGGGUCAUGAGUUACCCCUUUCAUAGUUAGUAGACAGUUCUGUUGAAUCCCAACUGCAGAGUGAAACAGACAUUGCUCCACACACUGAUUCCUUUGGGUAAAUAAAAAUUCAACUGAACUCCAGAGGAGGUGUGCGUGUGUGCGCGUGCGUGUAUGUGUGUAGCUCUAGUGUGUUGGGAAAGGGAAGGGAGAUUUGUGGUCAGAAAUGGGCAAGAGCCAGUGAAAACUGAGAUGGCACCUGAAAUGGCUCUGCUCUCCCUCCAUACCUUGCCAUCCUUGAAAUUGCAUCGCUUCCCUUGUCUCUCCUGGCCCUUGGUGUUGGUUUCCCACCUUCACGACCCUGCGGUUGCAGAGCAAUA
Molecule: non-coding RNA, 7462 nt
Organism: Globicephala melas (long-finned pilot whale)
Lineage: Eukaryota; Metazoa; Chordata; Mammalia; Artiodactyla; Delphinidae
Source: RefSeq, a predicted model, not a curated record